AUACGUAGGGGGCGAGCGUUGUCCGGAAUGAUUGGGCGUAAAGGGCGCGUAGGCGGCCCGGUAAGUCUGGAGUGAAAGUCCUGUUUUUAAGACGGGAAUUGCUUUGGAUACUGUCGGGCUUGAGUGCAGGAGAGGUAAGUGGAAUUCCCAGUGUAGCGGUGAAAUGCGUAGAGAUUGGGAGGAACACCAGUGGCGAAGGCGACUUACUGGACUGUAACUGACGCUGAGGCGCGAAGGUGUGGGGAGCAAACAGGAUUAGAUACCCUGGUAGUCCACACUGUAAACGAUGAAUGCUAGGUGUAGGGGGGUAUCGACCCCUUCUGUGCCGCAGUCAACACAAUAAGCAUUCAGCCUGGGGAGUACGGCCGCAAGGUUGAAACUCAAAGGAAUUGACGGGG
Molecule: ribosomal RNA, 398 nt
Filed under: uncultured bacterium
Lineage: Bacteria
Description: partial 16S ribosomal RNA
Rfam family: Bacterial small subunit ribosomal RNA
Source: RNAcentral